AUUGAACGCUGGCGGCAGGCCUAACACAUGCAAGUCGGACGGUAGCACAGAGGAGCUUGCUCCUCGGGUGACGAGUGGCGGACGGGUGAGUAAUGUCUGGGGAUCUGCCCGAUAGAGGGGGAUAACCACUGGAAACGGUGGCUAAUACCGCAUAACGUCGCAAGACCAAAGAGGGGGACCUUCGGGCCUCUCACUAUCGGAUGAACCCAGAUGGGAUUAGCUAGUAGGCGGGGUAACGGCCCACCUAGGCGACGAUCCCUAGCUGGUCUGAGAGGAUGACAAGCCACACUGGAACUGAGACACGGUCCAGAGUCCUACGGGGGGCAGCAGUGGGAAUAUUGCACAAUGGGCGCAAGCCUGAUGCAGCCAUACCGCGUGUAUGAAGAAGGCCUUCGGGUUGUAAAGUACUUUCAGCGGGGAGGAAGGCGAUGUGGUUAAUAACCGCGUCGAUUGACGUUACCCGCAGAAGAAGCACCGGCUAACUCCGUGCCAGCCGCCGCAGUAA
RNAcentral lists this ribosomal RNA (505 nucleotides) under uncultured bacterium. RNAcentral describes it as "partial 16S ribosomal RNA". It matches the Rfam family "Bacterial small subunit ribosomal RNA", at positions 29 to 523 of the family's 1533-position model. The record is from RNAcentral.